This 397-nucleotide ribosomal RNA is filed under the name uncultured bacterium. RNAcentral's name for it is "bacterial SSU rRNA". It matches the Rfam family "Bacterial small subunit ribosomal RNA", at positions 358 to 772 of the family's 1533-position model. The record is from RNAcentral.
GGAAUUUUGCACAAUGGCCGAAAGGCUGAUCCAGCAAUGCCGCGUGAGUGAUGAAGGCCUUAGGGUUGUAAAGCUCUUUCACCGGUGAAGAUAAUGACGGUAACCGGAGAAGAAGCCCCGGCUAACUUCGUGCCAGCAGCCGCGGUAAUACGAAGGGGGCUAGCGUUGUUCGGAAUUACUGGGCGUAAAGCGCACGUAGGCGGACAUUUAAGUCAGGGGUGAAAUCCCGCAGCUCAACUGCGGAACUGCCUUUGAUACUGGGUGUCUAGAGUAUGGAAGAGGUAAGUGGAAUUGCGAGUGUAGAGGUGAAAUUCGUAGAUAUUCGCAGGAACACCAGUGGCGAAGGCGGCUUACUGGUCCAUUACUGACGCUGAGGUGCGAAAGCGUGGGGAGCAAA